Molecule: long non-coding RNA, 392 nt
Organism: Lontra canadensis (Northern American river otter)
Lineage: Eukaryota; Metazoa; Chordata; Mammalia; Carnivora; Mustelidae
Exons: 3
Source: RefSeq, a predicted model, not a curated record
UUUCUUUUUUCCUUUUCCUUUUUUCCCCAUUAAAUGCUAAUUCCUAAAAUGCAUGUGUGCCCUCCAUUUCUGUAGUUUCUCCAGGGUCAAUUUCUGGAGGUGGAGCUGGCAGCCCUAACUACUUUGCCCCCUUGGCUGGUGCUACAGUUCCUUGAACCUUUUCCUUCUCCACUCUGCCUCUCUUCAUCACCUGAUGCUGAGUUCCAUGGAUCACCUCUGAAAGGCAGUGGCAUCGACAUAGAUGAGAUCUGAGAUUUGAAGGGUUUCAAUGGAUCUCCCCGUUUGGCACAAAAUCAAAUGAUGGAAAUGAAGGCUCAGUGAUCACGAUGCUGCGCUAGCUUCACAUUCAAGCGGAUGACUCUUGCUCAAUGAUUUCCAAAGCAAUGACCUCG